UCAGCUGUCCUGCUUCUCCUGGCUGCUUUCCUGAGGCCUGAGUUUGAUGAGUCCAAAUGGAGGUUUGCAAGGGAUGGAGAGUAUUUUCUCUUUCAUUUGGAGAAAAGAAUGUAUCAGGGACAUUCAUGGCAUCUGUAGACCUAUGCUCUCAUGUUGAUCAAAUGGAGCAGCCCAAGGUGAAGAACCAAAAGCUCAACUAGCUUAACACAUCUGAGUGCAAGGAAUCAGAACACUGGCAUUUCAUCCCAGGGGCUUUUUCAUAACAAAGUACCUCACGCAUCUUGUUGACUGGCCUCUUGGGAGCUGCCCCAGGAAUUUUGGGUUGACACUGCCCAACUUCUCCCAUGCAUGAUGGGUGACUUCAUGCUUCUGCAUUAGACACCUUCAUCUGCUCCACCCUAUAAAGCCUUCUGCCUCCUCUUCCUCUGGAGUCAACAUUGGGAGAACACUGUCAGCCAGCUGCGGUGGUACUUGGCUUCCCACGAAACCUUCCAGACUCUUCCUGUGGUGCCCUUGUCCUGUAUGAUGUGCAGAGGAGACUCUGGAUUCUGUUGUCUUUCUCAGAAGAGUGUUGAAUUUCUAUUUCCUGCAGGCACUCCAAACUCUAAUCUCGGAGACCUCAGCCCAUUAAGGUCACUGCUUUCUGUUCUGGCUCUAUCACCCAUGCACUGUACAUACUAGGGAGUUUCACAGGGGAAAAGUCGAUUCCAUAAUUGUUCCUACAGGAGCAUUAAUCCAAUGCAAGCUUCUCUACUAUGAAUGGAAGUCUAAAGUCCAGAAUAUAUUCUACAUCAUCAGCCACCACAAAAAAUUUACAGGACAUUAAACUCACAUUAAAGAUUCCCCAAACUUGCUAUUAGCUACAUUAAGUUCUCCAUAGAACUAAGGCAUCCUGAAGGAACCAUGUGCCCCAGUAGUAACUAAAGGCCCGGGGAAAGUGACCAGUCACUUGAAUGGGCUGGCAAGAUUUGAUAAAGGGCUGGGGUAAUCUAAUUGCAUACUAACUUAUAUGGAUAAACCAGGGACUGGAUGAAGAGGGUCCUCAAUACAGCAGAGCUUAUAGGAAGAGAUGAUGCAGCAUUCCACAGCCCUCAACUACAAAUAUUUCAAGGUCAAGGAACCCAAAAAAGCAUCUGUGGCAGUUCUGAUGUCUCUGACAGGUGAUUCCCAAAGGCUCAGAGGCAAGAAUGUGUUUUAGGGGACAAAUGAUAUUGGAAACCACUUACUGCCAAGGGAGUGAAAUCAUGUUCUACUUCUUUUGGAGUCCGGAGGCUCUCUUAUAUGUUUCCCUUAAGUGUCAAAUUUUGACAUCUUACAUGAAGUUGGCAAAUUGAAAUUCACAGCAAUAGAAGGUAGGUGUUUAAUAAGUGCCUUUCAAGUCCAGACAAAUUUGUGAAGUUUCAGAAACAGGAAAGAAAGGUAGGCAGCCAAACAAACCUCUGGCUAAAUCUGGCCAUUACAUAAAGAACAUAAACAUAUUAAUGUUUAAUUUUUUUAAAAGGAAGAAAAGGAAAAUUAUGCUAAAUUCCUGAAUGAGUCAAGAACAAAAUAAUAAAUACUACAAUUUCUGUUCAAAGUAAAGUGGAAAGGCAAACAUGAAGGAGGAGGGAGAGAUCUACUUGUUCUUGCCCUAGAACUCCAUCAUAUUCCCUGUUACAAGCCAAUGACUUUUUGCUCUCCCCCACUACCCCAAACUUAGGAUUCUGUGUCAUUGCUGGCUAGCUCGUGUCUUUUCAAGUGCUUUUAUGUCAUUGUAGGAUUGCUGGAAUUGAAAACAUUCAAAGAAAACCUUAAAGAAAUCAACAUCAUGAUUUUGAGAACAAAAAAAAUGCAGAGGUAACAAACUGUGAUGCAUUAACCUCGGUCAUCAUGCAUGUCACAGAAGCUGGAUGCAAAUUUAUGUAUUUACUGUCAUAAACCAGGACAAAUCUUGAUAUCACUUGAGAAAAGGCCAGUCAGAGAAAAUGAAGACCCCUUUGCCAUCCCCACCAUCCAAAGACUGGUUUAACUUGUACUUGAAGAUAUUGGCAUACUGAGCUGCACGGACAGUGAGGUCAUGCUGUGGGUCGGUAAGACGACUUAGCACUUUCAGAUGAUGGAAAAGUUUGUGUUAUCACUUCCUUCGAUCUUUCCUCACAUAAACAUUGAAUUUCAGGGCAUUUCAUAUAGACCUAAGGAGAAAAAUCUAUUAAAAAUAAUCUUUUUAAAACGACCCUUUUAAUGUUUGAAAUAUAUGGUUUGUUGUUGUUUUUGGUGAGAGAUGCAAAUAACUUUAUUCUUCUAUGAAAGACUCCAAUGUUUAAGUUUCUUGCCAU
This is a long non-coding RNA of Canis lupus familiaris (dog), 2315 nucleotides long. RefSeq lists it as uncharacterized. The record is from RefSeq and is a predicted model, not a curated record. The transcript has 3 exons. NCBI's taxonomy places the organism in Eukaryota, Metazoa, Chordata, Mammalia, Carnivora, Canidae.